RNAcentral lists this non-coding RNA (79 nucleotides) under Aliiroseovarius pelagivivens. RNAcentral's name for it is "Alpha-proteobacteria SAM riboswitch aptamer". It matches the Rfam family "Alpha-proteobacteria SAM riboswitch aptamer". From Rfam's summary of the family: This family is a riboswitch found predominantly in alpha-proteobacteria that binds S-adenosyl methionine (SAM). This SAM riboswitch is located upstream of the metA and metC genes in Agrobacterium tumefaciens, and other methionine and SAM biosynthesis genes in other alpha-proteobacteria. Lineage: Bacteria; Pseudomonadati; Pseudomonadota; Alphaproteobacteria; Rhodobacterales; Paracoccaceae. The record is from Rfam by way of RNAcentral.
GGCUGUGUCCGAGGCGAUUUGUCCACCGGAUUGCGGGCCUCGUGAAAUAUUCCGCUAAAGAGGUCAGGGUAGGCGGGGC